RNAcentral lists this ribosomal RNA (592 nucleotides) under Sarcoscypha dudleyi. Its description in RNAcentral is "eukaryotic LSU rRNA". The stretch from base 211 to 364 matches the Rfam family "5.8S ribosomal RNA". The record is from RNAcentral. Lineage: Eukaryota; Fungi; Ascomycota; Pezizomycetes; Pezizales; Sarcoscyphaceae.
ACAAGGUUUCCGUAGGUGAACCUGCGGAAGGAUCAUUACCGAGGAAAAGCGCCCGGGGCCUCGGCCCGGGGCGCUGACUUACCAAACCCUCUGUGUACCUUUACCUUUGUUGCUUGCCGUCGGGUUUGCGCCCGGCGGGGAGGUCCACCAAACUCAUGUUUUUCCAUGCAGUCAGUUAGAGCGGCUCGUCCGCGAAAAUUUAAAAGUUAAAACUUUCAACAACGGAUCUCUUGGUUCUCGCAUCGAUGAAGAACGCAGCGAAAUGCGAUAAGUAGUGUGAAUUGCAGAAUUCAGUGAAUCAUCGAAUCUUUGAACGCACAUUGCGCCCUCUGGUAUUCCGGGGGGCAUGCCUGUCCGAGCGUCGUCAAACCCCCUCAAGCUCCUUUGCUUGGUCAUGGCGGAAGAUCCCCUCCCCGGAGGGGUUCCCCGCUUAAAGGAAUCUGGCGGAGAGCCUGGUCCUCGGAGACGUAGUAAGCAAUUCUAUCGUCUCUCGAGCGAUCAUCUCCCAGCCGACAACCCCAAACUUUUCUAGGUUGACCUCGGAUCAGGUAGGGAUACCCGCUGAACUUAAGCAUAUCACGGGGGAAGAAAA